CCCAUGCCCGGCCAGGAAUUUUUUUUUUAAGAAGGCUGUCUACUAAUGGAAUUCCUGGCCUUAAGAGGAUAUUACUUUCAAAGGAAAGGAUUUAUUUCGUUAUUUAAAGAGUCACCUAAGCUGAAGAUUCCCUUGAGAACAAGUACUGUACUGUGGUUUCAUGGCCUUUCUUCCAUUUGUGGUUCUUGCCAAGUGGAAUUUAAAUGACAUCUUAUCAAGAUGGAUAAACCCUAGUUUCCCAGUGCUGGAAUAUAUAAAAUGGAUAGACAAAAUGUCUUUUUGUCACUUCCGGCUCGAUCUACCAUGAAAGAUUUCUGAAUCCAGGAAGAGAGACUGACUGGGCAACAUGUUAUUCAGGAACAGGACCUUGCCCUGUCACUCAGGAUGGAGUUCAGUUG
Molecule: long non-coding RNA, 398 nt
Filed under: Homo sapiens (human)
Lineage: Eukaryota; Metazoa; Chordata; Mammalia; Primates; Hominidae
Description: HSALNT0340929
Source: RNAcentral